CCAAGUAGUGUUUGUUUCUUCUACCAAGCUGCCGCUCACAUUCUGAUGAGUUGCUUGUUCUCCAUUUCAGUAUCUGAGAUGCAAUAAAUGCAAAGCUAUAGGAGUACGUCGUGUAUACAGCUUUUGAUCCGCAGCUCACACAUUUCCAUCUUUUGCAGCGGAUGUUGCGGAAAUUUGCUCUAGCGGCCGUGCACCUUCAGAGUGUAAGCUUUGAAACUGUAAGCUUUGAUGUUUCCAAGGCAA
Molecule: long non-coding RNA, 243 nt
Filed under: Setaria italica (foxtail millet)
Lineage: Eukaryota; Viridiplantae; Streptophyta; Magnoliopsida; Poales; Poaceae
Description: long non-coding RNA (SITA_LNC005550)
Source: RNAcentral